UGGGGAAUUUUGGACAAUGGGCGAAAGCCUGAUCCAGCAAUGCCGCGUGUGUGAAGAAGGCCUUCGGGUUGUAAAGCACUUUUGUCCGGAAAGAAAUGGCUCUGGUUAAUACCUGGGGUCGAUGACGGUACCGGAAGAAUAAGGACCGGCUAACUACGUGCCAGCAGCCGCGGUAAUACGUAGGGUCCAAGCGUUAAUCGGAAUUACUGGGCGUAAAGCGUGCGCAGGCGGUUGUGCAAGACCGAUGUGAAAUCCCCGAGCUUAACUUGGGAAUUGCAUUGGUGACUUCACGGCUAGAGUGUGUCGGAGGGGGGUAGAAUUCCACGUGUAGCAGUGAAAUGCGUAGAGAUGUGGAGGAAUACCGAUGGCGAAGGCAGCCCCCUGGGAUAACACUGACGCUCAUGCACGAAAGCGUGGGGAGCAAACAGG
Molecule: ribosomal RNA, 429 nt
Filed under: Bacillota bacterium
Lineage: Bacteria; Bacillati; Bacillota
Description: Firmicutes bacterium partial 16S ribosomal RNA
Rfam family: Bacterial small subunit ribosomal RNA
Source: RNAcentral